UACUGAAGGAUACACCCACCUCACAGCAGU
Molecule: non-coding RNA, 30 nt
Filed under: Rattus norvegicus (Norway rat)
Lineage: Eukaryota; Metazoa; Chordata; Mammalia; Rodentia; Muridae
Source: RNAcentral